Molecule: ribosomal RNA, 524 nt
Filed under: uncultured Anaerolineae bacterium
Lineage: Bacteria; Bacillati; Chloroflexota; Anaerolineae
Description: bacterial SSU rRNA
Rfam family: Bacterial small subunit ribosomal RNA
Source: RNAcentral
AGAGUUUGAUCCUGGCUCAGGAUGAACGCUGGCGGCGUGCUUAAUACAUGUAAGUCGAACGAGGAGUUUUGCUUCGGUAAAUCUCCGAGUGGCGAACGGGUGAGUAACGCGUUGGUGACCUGCCCCGAAGAGGGGGAUAACGGCUCGAAAGGGCUGCUAAUACCCCAUGUGGUCGUAGAGGUUAGAGGCUUUACGUCUAAAGGAGCAAUCCACUUCGGGAUGGGCCUGCGUCCCAUCAGCUAGUUGGUAGGGUAAUGGCCUACCAAGGCGACGACGGGUAGGGGGCCUCAGAGGGUGACCCCCCACACUGGCACUGAAACACGGGCCAGACACCUACGGGUGGCAGCAGUAGGGAAUAUUGCACAAUGAGCGAAAGCUUGAUGCAGCAACGCCGCGUGCGCGAUGACGGCCUUCGGGUUGUAAAGCGCUUUUCGGGGAGAUGAGGAAGGACAGUAUCCCCGGAAUAAGUCUCGGCUAACUACGUGCCAGCAGCCGCGGUAAGUACGUGCCAGCAGCCGCGGUAA